CGCAUCUGUGCAUGCAGCAUAUCAAUAAGCGGAGGAAAAGAAACUAACAAGGAUUCCCCUAGUAACGGCGAGUGAAGCGGGAAGAGCUCAAAUUUGAAAUCUUAAAGGGUUUCCCUUUACGAAUUGUAGUUUAAAGAAGUGUUUUCUGUUGAGGUUUUGGUAAAAGUUCUUUGGAAUAGGACAUCAUAGAGGGUGAGAAUCCCGUAUUUGACCUUUACUUUCAACUUUGUGAUACACUUUCAAAGAGUCGGAUUGUUUGGGAAUGCAGUCCAAAAUGGGUGGUAAAUUUCAUCUAAAGCUAAAUAUUGGCGAGAGACCGAUAGCGAACAAGUACCGUGAGGGAAAGAUGAAAAGAACUUUGAAAAGAGAGUUAAACAGUACGUGAAAUUGUCAAAAGGGAAGCGUUUGACACCAGUGUUGUUUUUCCGAAAAUCAAUUACGAAUGGCUUGAUUUUGUGUUGUAUUGACCUUAUCAGCUUUCUGCACUUUUUUCGAGUCUUUCUUAAUGCACUUUUCGGUUAACAAGUCAACAUCAAUUUCUUUUGUUGUAAAAGAGUAUUCGGAAGGUGGCUUUCUUUUCGGAGAAAGUGUUUAUAGCCCUAUACUUCUACAAUCGGAGAGAUUGAGGUCUGCAGCGUAGAUCCUUCGGGGUUAGAUACAUUUGUGCUAAGUUGUAGCUUUUCAUAGACAACUUGUUGACUAUGUUUAGUCAUGCGGCUUACUCGCUUAUGCUAUUUUACCUACGCUUAGGAUGUUGAGCGCAUGUCUCUCUCU
Molecule: ribosomal RNA, 774 nt
Filed under: uncultured Neocallimastigales
Lineage: Eukaryota; Fungi; Neocallimastigomycota; Neocallimastigomycetes; Neocallimastigales
Description: partial large subunit ribosomal RNA
Rfam family: Eukaryotic large subunit ribosomal RNA
Source: RNAcentral